UUGAUCUCAAAUCAGGUAGGACUACCCGCUGAACUUAAGCAUAUCAAUAAGCGGAGGAAAAGAAACUAACAAGGAUUCCCCUAGUAACUGCGAGUGAAGCGGGAAGAGCUCAAAUUUAAAAUCUGGCGUGCCUCUGGUCGUCCGAGUUGUAGUCUGGAGAAGCGUUUUCCGUGUUGGACCGUGUACAAGUCUCUUGGAACAGGGCGUCAUAGAGGGUGAGAAUCCCGUCUUGACACGGACUACCAAUGCUUUGUGAUGCUGCCA
RNAcentral lists this ribosomal RNA (264 nucleotides) under uncultured Thelephoraceae. RNAcentral's name for it is "partial 28S ribosomal RNA". It matches the Rfam family "Eukaryotic large subunit ribosomal RNA", at positions 1 to 259 of the family's 3401-position model. The record is from RNAcentral. Lineage: Eukaryota; Fungi; Basidiomycota; Agaricomycetes; Thelephorales; Thelephoraceae.